RNAcentral lists this ribosomal RNA (383 nucleotides) under uncultured bacterium. Its description in RNAcentral is "bacterial SSU rRNA". It matches the Rfam family "Bacterial small subunit ribosomal RNA", at positions 28 to 412 of the family's 1533-position model. The record is from RNAcentral.
GACGAACGCUGGCGGCGUGCUUAACACAUGCAAGUCGAACGGUGAACCUGCUUCGGUGGGGGAUCAGUGGCGAACGGGUGAGUAACACGUGGGCAACCUGCCCUCAGCUCUGGGAUAACUCCAAGAAAUUGGGGCGUAAUACCGGAUAUGACCGCUGACCGCAUGGUCUGGUGGUGGAAAGAUUUAUCGGCUGGGGAUGGGCCCGCGGCCUAUCAGCUUGUUGGUGGGGUAGUGGCCUACCAAGGCGACGACGGGUAGCCGGCCUGAGAGGGUGACCGGCCACACUGGGACUGAGACACGGCCCAGACUCCCACGGGAGGCAGCAGUGGGGAAUAUUGCGCAAUGGGCGAAAGCCUGACGCAGCGACGCCGCGUGGGGAUGAC